RNAcentral lists this long non-coding RNA (1026 nucleotides) under Gossypium barbadense (sea-island cotton). RNAcentral describes it as "long non-coding RNA (GBAR_LNC005897)". The record is from RNAcentral. Lineage: Eukaryota; Viridiplantae; Streptophyta; Magnoliopsida; Malvales; Malvaceae.
AAUUUCGGCACAUUCGUAGCUUGAUUAAGGUACGUUUUAGCUCAGUUUUUGAUGAUUUUUAUGUUUUUGUAAUCGUUGCAACUCAAUCUAGCUAGCCCGUAUCUUUAAUUUCGAAACCGUUAAAGAUUUUAAGAGUUUCCAUUUUUGAAUCUAUGUGUUCUUUGAUAUUUAAUGUUGAAAUAUGAAAGCUUGAUGAUAGAUUUUCAUGUUUUGUAAAGUGAUUUUUAAUGAAAAUGCAUAAUAGGGAUUAAAUUGUGAAAUGUGUAAAUUAUGUGGUUGAAAUGUGAAAUAAAUGAAAGUUUUGGGCUGCUAGGAACCUAUAAAUAAUUCGGCCAAGCUUGGGUUUAUUGAAAUUAUGUGAAUUUUGUGUUUCGAGAAAUAAGGACUAAAUUGUUAAAAGUGUGAAAGUUUAAGGGCUAAUGUGGAAAUAGACCUAAAUGUAUGUUUUGGACUAAAUUGAAUGAAUGGCUGAUUAAAUAAGUUAAUUUUGAAUUCAUAUAGAUUAAGAAAGAACGAAUUCGGAUUUAGAUCGGGGAAAAAGUAAGGUUAUCGAGUAGUCGACCCUAUCCGUCAAUUCCAAAUACGAGGUAAGUUCAUAUGUGAUUACUACAUUAUAAAUGUAUGUUAAAAUGCUUUAAUAUUGCAUAAUUUGUUAAAAUGGGAUUAUGGAUAAUGCAUGAAUUGUGAAAACGACUUUACAAAUGCAUUCGAUGAUAGAAACGAAAAGUGUGAAAGCCUGGUUGAACCUUAAGAAUAGUUUUGAAUACUAUUGACAUGUCAAUAAGUGAUACGUUGAAUUGGCUUAGGGUCAUGAUAUUAGCAUUGCGGGUGCAUAUUUUACUGAUUUGGCUUCGGGCCAUGCAUAUCAGAUGAUUUGGCUUCGGGCCAUGAUAAUAGUUCUUUGGAUAAGUUAUCUUAAUUUGGCUAUGGGCAAUGGUAUAGGUACUUAUCGUACAAGACUCCUGAGUAUCCAUUUUCUAUUCCAAACGGUUCAAUGGGUGAACGAACGAUGUGGUUGAGGAAGAG